This 506-nucleotide ribosomal RNA is filed under the name uncultured bacterium. RNAcentral's name for it is "partial 16S ribosomal RNA". It matches the Rfam family "Bacterial small subunit ribosomal RNA", at positions 29 to 523 of the family's 1533-position model. The record is from RNAcentral.
AGUGAACGCUGGCGGUAGGCCUAACACAUGCAAGUCGAACGGCAGCACAGGAGAGCUUGCUCUCUGGGUGGCGAGUGGCGGACGGGUGAGGAAUACAUCGGAAUCUACUCUGUCGUGGGGGAUAACGUAGGGAAACUUACGCUAAUACCGCAUACGACCUACGGGUGAAAGCAGGGGACCUUCGGGCCUUGCGCGAUUGAAUGAGCCGAUGUCGGAUUAGCUAGUUGGCGGGGUAAAGGCCCACCAAGGCGACGAUCCGUAGCUGGUCUGAGAGGAUGAUCGGCCACACUGGAACUGGAACACGGUCCAGGCUCCUACGGGAGGCAGCAGUGGGGAAUAUUGGACAAUGGGCGCAAGCCUGCUCCAGCCAUACCGCGUGGGUGAAGAAGGCCUUCGGGUUGUAAAGCCCUUUUGUUGGGAAAGAAAUCCAGCUGGCUAAUACCCGGUUGGGAUGACGGUACCCAAAGAAUAAGCACCGGCUAACUUCGUGCCAGCAGCCGCCGUAA